Molecule: long non-coding RNA, 7253 nt
Filed under: Zea mays
Lineage: Eukaryota; Viridiplantae; Streptophyta; Magnoliopsida; Poales; Poaceae
Description: long non-coding RNA (ZMAY_LNC000094)
Source: RNAcentral
CGAAACUUCUAAGCGCCAUGAGCGCAAAAAGUUUAGUAAGAUCCCCUUACACUAUCCUCGUACUUCUAGACAUACUCCAUUACUUUCCGUUCCAUUAGGCAAACCGCCAACCUUUGAUGGUGAAGAUUAUGCUAGGUGGAGUGAUUUAAUGAAAUAUCACCUAACCUCACUCCACAAAAGUAUAUGGAAUGUUGUUGAGUUUGGAGCACAGGUACCAUCCGUAGGGGAUGAGGAUUAUGAUGAGGACGAAGUGGCCCAAAUCGAGCACUUCAACUCCCAAGCCACAACCAUACUCCUCGCCUCUCUAAGUAGGGAGGAGUACAACAAGGUGCAAGGAUUAAAGAGCGCCAAGGAAGUUUGGGACGUGCUCAAGACCGCGCACGAGGGUGAUGAACUCACCAAAAUCACCAAGCGGGAAACGAUCGAGGGGGAGCUCGGUCGCUGUAACACCCCGGGAUCCACAAACACCCCAGAAUGCUACUAAACUACACAUCUAACAUUCAUAUAUAAAAUUUCGACAUCAUCUCCUUUGAAAAUUGCAUAAACGGGGAUGCAACAAAGUAUAAAUAGGUAUCAUGAUAAGAAAACAUAAAAGACAUUAAUAAUCUGCUAGCAAUGGGAAGACAACCAUAACAACAUGAACUGAAUUAAUCAGUGUGCACGACUAGUUAAAAACAAACAUCCUUUGACAAGAAGUUUCUAAUUAAAUCAUGACUGUGUCUGGGCAGCAUUAUUAUGAGAGUGAAGGUGGAUGUGCUGCUACUUCCCACUCCCCUUGAUGAGCAACAAGCACCUGCAUUGAGUAAUGCAAGAGUGAGAUGAAACAUCUCAGCAAGCUAAUUGUUCUGACGAGAUAUUUAAACCACAAAUUGAAUUAAUCAACAUUUUAAAAGAAUCACAAUCAAGAUCAGAAAUACUUGUAGAUAUAGAACUUAGUAGUCCCAAUAUAACCAAUAUCAUCUCAUUUCCUCGAACAACCACAAUAGGUUCUAUAACACCUCCCCGCGUCAACAAUACCUGCAAAUAUCACUUCAAUGUAUGCAUAGGAAUGCAAUGUGUAGGUACUCUAUCUUCAUACCUCUGAGAGUAUAAAACCACAUCAUCUGCAAAUAUCACUUCAAUGAAUGCAUAUGAAUGCAAUGCAUAUGUCCUCUGCCUUCAUACCUCUAAGGGUAUGAAGCCGCAUCGUACCCCUUCUCGGGCAACGUACGAUGCUAAGUUGUACCGGUACGGUCGGACCAUAGGUCACGACAAAACUUCAUAUGCAAAUGAGUCAUGCAAUGUAUAUGGCAUGCUACAUUUAUCAAUAAACUUCACUUCCUUCAGAUACAACACAAACCUCAAAUAAUACUUCAUUUACCUUCAGAUACAAUACCAACCUCAAAUAAUACUUCAUUUACCUUCAGGGGUGUGAAUUAAUCUCAUGAGUCAUACUCAAAUCAUAAUCAUCAUCAAUAUAUGAUUGAGCAUCAGUAUAAUGCAAGCAAGUAAAGCAUCACCAUAGAGUCCAAUUAUGAAAGAAUCUGACACUUCUGAAUAUUAGAGUGUAGGCGAUAGAAAUAACAGGUCAGAACGGAAGCAACCACCGCUACAUUCACUUGCCUUCAUCGAAGAAGAAGAAAUGUACUAGACAUGAUCUGGAGUGUAGCCACCUGCUAGUGGGCAUAAAACUUAGUACAAAUAUUUUACAAACAUUUGCCAUCAAUCAACAAAACACUCCUGCACUUGAAACCAAGACCCAGUGGAAAGACUCCCACCCUGAACCACAUGCCAUACAGCAGCAACGCUGUUUGUUAAUUUUGUAUCUUUAAAAUUAAAACAGCGGUGAUAUCAAACAAAUACUCUAGGAGUAUCUACACAAAAUACUCUACAACUUCAGUAUUCAAUAGAUAAUUAAAUUCUGCCAUCUACAAGUUCUAAAACAUCUGACAAGAUACCUGACUGAAUCUGUUUUAGACAGCAGUAUGGUUAACUUUAAAAUUCGAUAUCUCCAAAACUGCUGAACCAAAAAUUAUGAAAUUCUGCUGGAAGUAAGAACUUUUAUCCCUCUACAAAAGUCUCCAUAGUUGGAAGAGCCAAUUCGGCCAUUUACUAGAUGAAACCCACCAGUGAACAGACCCACUCAUUUUUGUCAGGUAAACAGGAACAGCCACAGUAAAACAAACAUAACUGGAGUUUCACAAAUCAUAUGAAUGCACUCUUUAACAAUCUGGAAAGCUUAUAAAAUUAUCUACAACUUCUUUUACCAACCCACAGUUUAAUUCUGUUGAUAAAAUUGCCUAAAUCUUAAGAGAACAGAUUCUGCACAGAAUUAUGAGACUGAAAAACUGCUAUAGUAAAACUGCAAUAACUCUCUGGUCGGAUCUCCGAUUGAGGUGUUCUUCACGGCCACGGAAAGAUCUACAAAUUAUCUACGACUCAUACAUAGACUUUUUAUUUUUUUGAGGCCACUAAGACCACGGAAAACUGGCAUGAACAGAAACUGUCGAAUCUGCCAUUCUGCAGAAAACUAAAUUCGAGAUCAAAACCUAACCCCACAUCAAAUCCAACCUCUAAUCCUUUAAUUCCCAUGAUCUACAACCUCCAAAAGCCUAUAAUUACAGGGAGGAACAAGGAUCUCAUCCAUACCUAGGGUUUCCCCAAGAAAUCUUCAAGAGGAGAUGGGGAAGAACAUCUCCUUGAUCCUCUCUUCCUCUUCAAUUCAACGUGCCCCUCCUUUUCUCGAUCCUUGCUGCGUAGGAGGAGAUCUUGGGGGAGGAAGCAAUGGAGGAUGGCUGCCAUAGGGGGAGGGGGCGUCCAGCCAAGGGGGAGAAAAAGGGGGUGGCGGCCAAGAGGGGGGUGAAGGGAAAAAAAAGGGGUGGCCACCUAGGGUUUUUGUGGGAGAAAGAAACGAUGCCUCAGAUGACUUCUAUCUUUGCAUCCAAUGGCCCACAACCCUUUACCUCAUCCACGCACCGGAGAUUAACUUUUGGUCAACAUUUUUUUUGGGAUAUUACACUCUACCCCGCUUAAAAAGAAUUCGACCUCGAAUUCGGCCACUCCAAGCAAAACACCCAAGGUACCCCAUAUAGCACCACAAUUCAAAACAUGGGUCCAUUAUUGGUCUUAAUUAACACAAGAACUUCUACCUUGGACUAAUUGUCUAAGGAAACUACACGACCUGACAUCAAGCAUGAAACAACAUGUAAUGAAGCUCAAAGCAUGUCAUAGUUGCAAUCAACACUCCAAUUUCACACCAUCAAAUUUGGAUGCAGCUAUACAUCAACAUCAAUGUCUUAAGACAACACUCUUUUAUGAAGGGGUAAUAUGCACCAAGCACAACCCUUACCAACUUCAACCAUUAAUUUUAAUUAAAUGGUGAAACAUCUACACCCGACGAAUGUAUAAGAAGAUCAAACACCUCACCUUAAAGCACCAUGAAACAAGUAGUUGUAUUGAAACAAAAAUCCUAAUCUUCCUAAACCUUAUUCUUGCCAUCAUGAAAAGAUAAUCAUGUAAUCUAACAUUCUUUGCACCCCACAAAAGGGAGAAAAUCCACAGAACUAAUGGAGCAAUAAAGCCAACAAGAAGCCAAUAAUAUUCUGCGCGGCACAUUUCAUCGAAGAAAUGCCAAAAGCUCCACAAAGAGCACUGACAGCACAACAACACAAUACUUGGUUAACCAAUGUCACUAUACUUCAUUCAACAUCUCAACUAAGAAAAAUAUCCAACUAGUAAGGAUAACCUACACAUAAUAUAAGUCUUCAUCUACUGUAGUUCAGAAACUUACAUUUCAUUCUAUCAUACGAUGCACUCAAAGUACCAGACAUACAAGGUCAAUAAUAACCCCGUAAUCCUUCACACAUUUGACAAACAUCUCAAGCUGAUGUAAAAACCACAUCAUUUACGAAUAGGUGACUAACCACACACAACAAACUCUAGGCUAGGCACUGGCUUCAUUCAAACCAAUAGAUAGGUGGUCCAACAAUGGCUCCACAAGCAUGCAUCGGAGAGAGAACCAUCUGAUCCUCCAUAUAUUAAUACAUAAUCAAUGGAUCCAGAAAAUCAAAGGUUUAUUCUACAACUAGCAUGACUAACAUGCAACCACUUUAAACCACAUCUAGGCUUUGUGGCUACUAAAACACACAAUAGAAGAGAGACAUGUAAGCCAUUCUAGCUAGGUAAAGACUUCCCCCAAAAUUCAUAUAAAAGUACCAACAUUCAUUUCUUUCAGAACUGGUUUCUCGACAUAAACAAUCAUUCUUUGCAAAGAUAGUUGGAACUAUCCACCAACCGCUCAACAACUUAAAUUCAAAUUGAUGGUUACCUUGUAACCCAAAACACGCAAUUCACACUCCUCUUAGAAACAUCCUCAAUCAAGCAUAUAUAACAAUAUUAUUGUAAUAAAACUCAACCAUGGAAAACAUGGUGUAAACAACAUAGACAUACUUGUAUAUCACAAGCAUAAUAACAACUUCAAUCUCUCAAAAGACCAGCGAUAUCAAUCGCAUUAAUAAAACAAUAUAAAGAUUUAGAGAUAAAUUAUUAGGCAUUAAGUCAUAAACGACUUACCACAUCACCGUAAAGGAAUAGGGAGGGGUGAAAUUAUUGUCAUCUGCACUCCAAAGACAUUAAUAUAUAUCAAAGAUAUUUGAACCCAUACCCUUCCUAUAUGUGCAAGUGUGUCAAAUUUAUCUUCAAAUUGCCAAGAAUCUAAAGCCUAUGCUUUGAUACCAACUAUAACACCCCGGGAUCCACAAACACCCCAGAAUGCUACUAAACUACACAUCUAACAUUCAUAUAUAAAAUUUCGACAUCAUCUCCUUUGAAAAUUGCAUAAACGGGGAUGCAACAAAGUAUAAAUAGGUAUCAUGAUAAGAAAACAUAAAAGACAUUAAUAAUCUGCUAGCAAUGGGAAGACAACCAUAACAACAUGAACUGAAUUAAUCAGUGUGCACGACUAGUUAAAAACAAACAUCCUUUGACAAGAAGUUUCUAAUUAAAUCAUGACUGUGUCUGGGCAGCAUUAUUAUGAGAGUGAAGGUGGAUGUGCUGCUACUUCCCACUCCCCUUGAUGAGCAACAAGCACCUGCAUUGAGUAAUGCAAGAGUGAGAUGAAACAUCUCAGCAAGCUAAUUGUUCUGACGAGAUAUUUAAACCACAAAUUGAAUUAAUCAACAUUUUAAAAGAAUCACAAUCAAGAUCAGAAAUACUUGUAGAUAUAGAACUUAGUAGUCCCAAUAUAACCAAUAUCAUCUCAUUUCCUCGAACAACCACAAUAGGUUCUAUAACACCUCCCCGCGUCAACAAUACCUGCAAAUAUCACUUCAAUGUAUGCAUAGGAAUGCAAUGUGUAGGUACUCUAUCUUCAUACCUCUGAGAGUAUAAAACCACAUCAUCUGCAAAUAUCACUUCAAUGAAUGCAUAUGAAUGCAAUGCAUAUGUCCUCUGCCUUCAUACCUCUAAGGGUAUGAAGCCGCAUCGUACCCCUUCUCGGGCAACGUACGAUGCUAAGUUGUACCGGUACGGUCGGACCAUAGGUCACGACAAAACUUCAUAUGCAAAUGAGUCAUGCAAUGUAUAUGGCAUGCUACAUUUAUCAAUAAACUUCACUUCCUUCAGAUACAACACAAACCUCAAAUAAUACUUCAUUUACCUUCAGAUACAAUACCAACCUCAAAUAAUACUUCAUUUACCUUCAGGGGUGUGAAUUAAUCUCAUGAGUCAUACUCAAAUCAUAAUCAUCAUCAAUAUAUGAUUGAGCAUCAGUAUAAUGCAAGCAAGUAAAGCAUCACCAUAGAGUCCAAUUAUGAAAGAAUCUGAUACUUCUGAAUAUUAGAGUGUAGGCGAUAGAAAUAACAGGUCAGAACGGAAGCAACCACCGCUACAUUCACUUGCCUUCAUCGAAGAAGAAGAAAUGUACUAGACAUGAUCUGGAGUGUAGCCACCUGCUAGUGGGCAUAAAACUUAGUACAAAUAUUUUACAAACAUUUGUCAUCAAUCAACAAAACACUCCUGCACUUGAAACCAAGACCCAGUGGAAAGACUCCCACCCUGAACCACAUGCCAUACAGCAGCAACGCUGUUUGUUAAUUUUGUAUCUUUAAAAUUAAAACAGCGGUGAUAUCAAACAAAUACUCUAGGAGUAUCUACACAAAAUACUCUACAACUUCAGUAUUCAAUAGAUAAUUAAAUUCUGCCAUCUACAAGUUCUAAAACAUCUGACAAGAUACCUGACUGAAUCUGUUUUAGACAGCAGUAUGGUUAACUUUAAAAUUCGAUAUCUCCAAAACUGCUGAACCAAAAAUUAUGAAAUUCUGCUGGAAGUAAGAACUUUUAUCCCUCUACAAAAGUCUCCAUAGUUGGAAGAGCCAAUUCAGCCAUUUACUAGAUGAAACCCACCAGUGAACAGACCCACUCAUUUUUGUCAGGUAAACAGGAACAGCCACAGUAAAACAAACAUAACUGGAGUUUCACAAAUCAUAUGAAUGCACUCUUUAACAAUCUGGAAAGCUUAUAAAAUUAUCUACAACUUCUUUUACCAACCCACAGUUUAAUUCUGUUGAUAAAAUUGCCUAAAUCUUAAGAGAACAGAUUCUGCACAGAAUUAUGAGACUGAAAAACUGCUAUAGUAAAACUGCAAUAACUCUCUGGUCGGAUCUCCGAUUGAGGUGUUCUUCACGGCCACGGAAAGAUCUACAAAUUAUCUACGACUCAUACAUAGACUUUUUAUUUUUUUGAGGCCACUAAGACCACGGAAAACUGGCAUGAACAGAAACUGUCGAAUCUGCCAUUCUGCAGAAAACUAAAUUCGAGAUCAAAACCUAACCCCACAUCAAAUCCAACCUCUAAUCCUUUAAUUCCCAUGAUCUACAACCUCCAAAAGCCUAUAAUUACAGGGAGGAACAAGGAUCUCAUCCAUACCUAGGGUUUCCCCAAAAAAUCUUCAAGAGGAGAUGGGGAAGAACAUCUCCUUGAUCCUCUCUUCCUCUUCAAUUCAACGUGCCCCUCCUUUUCUCGAUCCUUGCUGCGUAGGAGGAGAUCUUGGGGGAGGAAGCAAUGGAGGAUGGCUGCCAUAGGGGGAGGGGGCGUCCAGCCAAGGGGGAGAAAAAGGGGGUGGCGGCCAAGAGGGGGGUGAAGGGAAAAAAAAGGGGUGGCCACCUAGGGUUUUUGUGGGAGAAAGAAACGAUGCCUCAGAUGACUUCUAUCUUUGCAUCCAAUGGCCCACAACCCUUUACCUCAUCCACGCACCGGAGAUUAACUUUUGGUCAACA